CAGCCCCUCGAGUGGUGGGGAUGAUUAUUUGGCCUAAAGCGUCCGUAGCCGGCCGAGCAAGUCUUCCGUUAAAUCCAGCGUCUCAAGCGUUGGACCGCGGGAGAUACUACACGGCUAGAGAGUGGGAGAGGUCAGCGGUAUUCUGGGGGUAGGGGCGAAAUCCUUUGAUCCCCGGAGGACCACCAGUGGCGAAGGCUGCUGACUAGAACACGUCUGACGGUCAGGGACGAAAGCUGGGGUAGCGAACCGGAUUAGAGACCCGUGUAGUCC
Molecule: ribosomal RNA, 270 nt
Filed under: uncultured archaeon
Lineage: Archaea
Description: partial 16S ribosomal RNA
Rfam family: Archaeal small subunit ribosomal RNA
Source: RNAcentral